This 193-nucleotide small nuclear RNA is filed under the name Echinococcus granulosus. RNAcentral describes it as "U2 spliceosomal RNA". It matches the Rfam family "U2 spliceosomal RNA". From Rfam's summary of the family: U2 is a small nuclear RNA (snRNA) component of the spliceosome (involved in pre-mRNA splicing). Complementary binding between U2 snRNA (in an area lying towards the 5' end but 3' to hairpin I) and the branchpoint sequence (BPS) of the intron results the bulging out of an unpaired adenosine, on the BPS, which initiates a nucleophilic attack at the intronic 5' splice site, thus starting the first of two transesterification reactions that mediate splicing. The record is from Rfam by way of RNAcentral. Lineage: Eukaryota; Metazoa; Platyhelminthes; Cestoda; Cyclophyllidea; Taeniidae.
AUCACUUAUCGGUUCUAUGAGCUAAGAUCAUGUGUAGUGUCUGUUCUUUCCAGUGCAAUUUCUGCAACGGUCCCUAAUUUGGGACCAAUGAAAUUACGUGAAUUUUUCCAAUCAGAACGGGUGUUGUGAGCUUGCUUAAAAACGUGCAUGGCCGAUUAUCUCCUGAUAUUAGCUUGUAAUUACCCCAACAUAU